UUUCUAAAAUAAUAAUCUAGCUUUUGGUGAUCUAUUUAUGAUCAUCUUGAACUUUAUUUACUUAUGUUCAUAUUUUUUUUGUUGCUUAUAGUUGUGCUCGUUAUUUAUUUAAUUAUUAAUUUAUUAUCCGGCAUUGUACUAGACUGCUUGGCGAUCAAUAAUCAAGAGGAUCUGGCAAACUAUGAGUAGAUAGCUAGAUAUGGAAGACGACACACCAAUCUCAUAGAUUUUUUUUUUUUUUUUGCCAUGCUCCACCAUAUGUACAGAUAUAUUUAAGCAUUGCAAGGCUAGCAUUUUACUUUACGUUGAUUGCACAUCAUGCAACUAAGGCCUUGUUUAGAUACACCUAAAAACCCAAAGCUUUACAAGAUUCUCCAUCACAUCGAAUCUCGCGCCACAUGCAUGAAACAUUAAAUAUAGAUAAAAAAGAUAAUUAAUUGCACAGUUUACCUCUAAAUCACGAGACGAAUCUUUUAAGCCUAGUUACUCCAUGAUUGGACAAUGUUUGUAAAAUAAAAACGAAAGUACUACAGUGUCAAAAUCUAAAAAGUUUUUGAAUCUAAAUAAGGCCUAACUAGUCAUGCAAUCAACAUAAUUACAUAAAGUAGAGCACAAAACAAUAAUUUAAAUAAAUAAUGGUGUGAUUACAUGUAAUGAGACAGAAGAAAAUGAACAAAUAAGAUUCAAACAGAGCAUAUAGAUAGCAAUUUUUUUGAAAAAGGUAUACUAGUUCAUAUUUUUCUAAUCUAAUAUUUAGUCAUGAUUUUUAGAGAAUUAAUCAUAUAUAUUUUUCGUUUUUAGAAAAUAGAAAACCACAAGAUGACCAAAUCUAUCUGGUUCCAACAGGUGGAGGAUGUGUGAUACUCGGUUUCGUAGUUCAGCAUUGAAAAUUGAACUGUCAUGUAAGUUGGAGAUUGGAAAAUGGGGGUUGUAUCCAUAGGGUAGCCCCUUGUAGCUUUGUUCUAGCUAGUAGCCUAGUACAACGUUCCCUUCCUUUAUCAACUCUUUGUUAAUUGUUGUUGACUGUGACAUGUAAAACUGUCAGUACCUUGAAAGGAUUUUUAUUGGAGAGGAAAAAAAUAAAAAAGAGCAAUUAAGGAUAUGUGUUAUGGGCUAUUGAUCGAUCCAAAACUUAAGAUAUAAACUAAAAUGGUACAUCAUGUAAUUAAUUUAACAGGAGAAACUAAGAGGAUAUUUGGUUGG
Molecule: long non-coding RNA, 1203 nt
Filed under: Sorghum bicolor (sorghum)
Lineage: Eukaryota; Viridiplantae; Streptophyta; Magnoliopsida; Poales; Poaceae
Description: long non-coding RNA (SBIC_LNC000347)
Source: RNAcentral